This is a non-coding RNA of Crenichthys baileyi (White River springfish), 67 nucleotides long. The record is from the annotation of a GenBank genome assembly. NCBI's taxonomy places the organism in Eukaryota, Metazoa, Chordata, Actinopteri, Cyprinodontiformes, Goodeidae.
GGCAGCUGUGGCUCAGUAGGAAGAGUAAUCAGAAGGUUGUGGGUUCGAUUCCAGCUUCCUCCUGCCA